CCUACGGGGCGCUGCAGUGGGGAAUAUUGGACAAUGGGCGAAAGCCUGAUCCAGCCAUGCCGCGUGUGUGAAGAAGGCCUUCGGGUUGUAAAGCACUUUCAGUGGGGAAGAAAGCCUUGGGGCUAAUACCCUCGAGGAAGGACAUCACCCACAGAAGAAGCACCGGCUAACUCCGUGCCAGCAGCCGCGGUAAUACGGAGGGUGCGAGCGUUAAUCGGAAUUACUGGGCGUAAAGCGCGCAUAGGCGGUCUGAUAAGCCGGUUGUGAAAGCCCCGGGCUCAACCUGGGAACGGCAUCCGGAACUGUCAGGCUAGAGUGCAGGAGAGGAAGGUAGAAUUCCCGGUGUAGCGGUGAAAUGCGUAGAGAUCGGGAGGAAUACCAGUGGCGAAGGCGGCCUUCUGGACUGACACUGACGCUGAGGUGCGAAAGCGUGGGUAGCAAACAGGAUUAGAUACCCGGGUAGUC
RNAcentral lists this ribosomal RNA (465 nucleotides) under Vreelandella stevensii. RNAcentral's name for it is "partial 16S ribosomal RNA". It matches the Rfam family "Bacterial small subunit ribosomal RNA", at positions 338 to 795 of the family's 1533-position model. Lineage: Bacteria; Pseudomonadati; Pseudomonadota; Gammaproteobacteria; Oceanospirillales; Halomonadaceae. The record is from RNAcentral.